CGGACGGGUGAGUAAUGUCUGGGAAACUGCCUGAUGGAGGGGGAUAACUACUGGAAACGGUAGCUAAUACCGCAUAACGUCGCAAGACCAAAGAGGGGGGCCUUCGGGCCUCUUGCCAUCGGAUGUGCCCAGAUGGGAUUAGCUAGUAGGUGGGGUAAAGGCUCACCUAGGCGACGAUCCCUAGCUGGUCUGAGAGGAUGACCAGCCACACUGGAACUGAGACACGGUCCAG
RNAcentral lists this ribosomal RNA (232 nucleotides) under uncultured bacterium. RNAcentral's name for it is "partial 16S ribosomal RNA". It matches the Rfam family "Bacterial small subunit ribosomal RNA", at positions 99 to 334 of the family's 1533-position model. The record is from RNAcentral.